Molecule: transfer RNA, 84 nt
Filed under: Deltaproteobacteria bacterium
Lineage: Bacteria; Pseudomonadati; Myxococcota; Myxococcia
Description: tRNA-Leu
Rfam family: tRNA
About the family: Transfer RNA (tRNA) molecules are approximately 80 nucleotides in length. Their secondary structure includes four short double-helical elements and three loops (D, anti-codon, and T loops).
Source: RNAcentral
GGGGAUGUGGCGGAAUUGGUAGACGCGCUGGAUUCAAAAUCCCGUUCUCGCAAGAGAGUAUGGGUUCAAGUCCCAUCAUCCCCA